This 264-nucleotide unclassified non-coding RNA is filed under the name uncultured fungus. RNAcentral describes it as "partial contains 5.8S ribosomal RNA, internal transcribed spacer 2, and large subunit ribosomal RNA". The stretch from base 1 to 52 matches the Rfam family "5.8S ribosomal RNA", at positions 103 to 154 of the family's 154-position model. The record is from RNAcentral. Lineage: Eukaryota; Fungi.
AACGCACCUUGCGCCUUUUGGUAUUCCGAAAGGCAUGCCUGUUUGAGUGUCAUGAAACAUCAACCCCCCAGGUUUUUCGCUUGGGAAGGUUGGAUCUGGGCGCUGCCGCCUGCUCGUCUGCGGGCCGGCUCGCCUCAAAAGCGUUAGUGGGAUACCGCAUAGCCCGACGUGAUAAGUUUCGUCUGGUGAAGCGCGACGCCUGCUUUACCCCAAUUUCAUUUGUACUCUGACCUCAAAUCAGGUAGGACUACCCGCUGAACUUAA